CUGCCCCUCAAGCACGGCUUGUGUGUUGGGCCGCCGCCCCCCUCGGGGGACGGGCCCGAAAGGCAGCGGCGGUGCCGCGUUCCGGUCCUUGAGCGUAUGGGGCUCUGUCACCCGCUCUGGAGGUCCGGCCGGUGCCUGCCCACCCGUCAAUCGUCUUCCAA
This 161-nucleotide unclassified non-coding RNA is filed under the name Rasamsonia byssochlamydoides. RNAcentral's name for it is "partial internal transcribed spacer 2". Lineage: Eukaryota; Fungi; Ascomycota; Eurotiomycetes; Eurotiales; Trichocomaceae. The record is from RNAcentral.